This 1082-nucleotide ribosomal RNA is filed under the name Preussia sp. SGLMf14. Its description in RNAcentral is "eukaryotic LSU rRNA". The stretch from base 476 to 1082 matches the Rfam family "Eukaryotic large subunit ribosomal RNA", at positions 1 to 656 of the family's 3401-position model. Lineage: Eukaryota; Fungi; Ascomycota; Dothideomycetes; Pleosporales; Sporormiaceae. The record is from RNAcentral.
ACCUGCGGAAGGAUCAUUAUCGUGGGGCUUCGGCCCUAUCGAGAUAGAACCCUUGCCUUUUUGAGUACCUUUCGUUUCCUCGGUAGGCUCGCCUGCCGGUGGACAAACAAACCAAACCCUGUAUUAUCAUGUAAUAGUCUGAGUAAACAAAAAUUAAAUCAAAACUUUCAACAACGGAUCUCUUGGUUCUGGCAUCGAUGAAGAACGCAGCGAAAUGCGAUAAGUAGUGUGAAUUGCAGAAUUCAGUGAAUCAUCGAAUCUUUGAACGCACAUUGCGCCCUUUGGUAUUCCUUAGGGCAUGCCUGUUCGAGCGUCAUUCAAACCUUCAAGCUCUGCUUGGUGUUGGGUGUCUGUCCCGCCUUACGGCGCGGACUCGCCUCAAAUUCAUUGGCGGCCGGUACGUUGGCUUCGAGCGCAGCAGAAACGCGUUCUCGAGACUGGCGGACUGGCUCCCAGAAGCUAACCCCAUGAAUUUUGACCUCGGAUCAGGUAGGGAUACCCGCUGAACUUAAGCAUAGCCCUAGUAACGGCGAGUGAAGCGGCAACAGCUCAAAUUUGAAAUCUGGCUCUUUCAGGGUCCGAGUUGUAAUUUGCAGAGGGUGCUUUGGUGUUGACUGUGGUCUAAGUUCCUUGGAACAGGACGUCGCAGAGGGUGAGAAUCCCGUAUGUGGCCGCCAGUCUUCACCGUGUAAAGCCCCUUCGACGAGUCGAGUUGUUUGGGAAUGCAGCUCUAAAUGGGAGGUAAAUUUCUUCUAAAGCUAAAUACUGGCCAGAGACCGAUAGCGCACAAGUAGAGUGAUCGAAAGAUGAAAAGCACUUUGGAAAGAGAGUCAAAAAGCACGUGAAAUUGUUGAAAGGGAAGCGCUUGCAGCCAGACUUGCCUGUAGUUGCUCAUCCGGACUUUUGUCCGGUGCACUCUUCUACGGGCAGGCCAGCAUCAGUUGGGGCGGUUGGAUAAAUGCCUGCUGAAUGUACCUCUCCUCGGGGAGGACUUAUAGCAGUAGGCGGCAUACAACCAGCCCCGACUGAGGUCCGCGCAUCUGCUAGGAUGCUGGCGUAAUGGCUGUAAGCGGCCCGUCUUG